AAGAGGUACCGUCAUCACGCAGGGUAUUCGCCUACGCUUAUUCGUCCCUCUCCACAGAGCUUUACAACCCUAGGGCCUUCAUCGCUCACGCGGCGUCGCUGCGUCAGGCUUUCGCCCAUUGCGCAAGAUUCCC
RNAcentral lists this ribosomal RNA (133 nucleotides) under uncultured bacterium. Its description in RNAcentral is "partial 16S ribosomal RNA". The record is from RNAcentral.